Molecule: ribosomal RNA, 635 nt
Filed under: uncultured bacterium
Lineage: Bacteria
Description: bacterial SSU rRNA
Rfam family: Bacterial small subunit ribosomal RNA
Source: RNAcentral
GCCUGACGGAGCAAUACCGCGUGAGGGAUGACUGCCUAUGGGUUGUAAACCUCUUUUUUCAGGGAGGAAUAAAUGACGUGUACCUGAAGAAUAAGCAUCGGCUAACUCCGUGCCAGCAGCCGCGGUAAGACGGAGGAUGCAAGUGUUAUCCGGAAUCACUGGGCGUAAAGCGUCUGUAGGUGGCUCGACAAGUCAACUGUUAAAUCUUGAAGCUCAACUUCAAAAUCGCAGUCGAAACUAUCGGACUAGAGUAUAGUAGAGGUAAAGGGAAUUUCCAGUGGAGCGGUGAAAUGCGUAGAGAUUGGAAAGAACACCGAUGGCGAAGGCACUUUACUGGGCUAUUACUGACACUCAGAGACGAAAGCUAGGGUAGCAAAUGGGAUUAGAUACCCCAGUAGUCCUAGCCGUAAACAAUGGAUACUAGGUGUUGAACAGAUCGACCUGUGCAGUACCAAAGCUAACGCGUUAAGUAUCCCGCCUGGGAAGUAUGCACGCAAGUGUGAAACUCAAAGGAAUUGACGGGGGCCCGCACAAGCGGUGGAGCAUGUGGUUUAAUUCGAUGCAACGCGAAGAACCUUACCAGGGUUUGACAUGAUACGAAUUUUUUUGAAAGAAAAAAGUGCCUUUUGGAACGU